Electrophorus electricus (electric eel) is the source of this 2060-nucleotide RNA transcript. It is a transcript of the gene named cytochrome b-c1 complex subunit 10-like, with no coding region annotated. The record is from RefSeq and is a predicted model, not a curated record. Lineage: Eukaryota; Metazoa; Chordata; Actinopteri; Gymnotiformes; Gymnotidae.
UGGCAUUACACGCCUCCGACUUUUGGCAGAACGCGAAGGAAGCGACAACGGUUUAAAAUGUUAGCCAGACUGAUUGGGACGAAAUACGCUGCUCUGGCCAAAGCAUGGGCUCCGACUCUAGCUGGCUGGAGUGCCGUAGGGGCGCUGGGAGUGAUCCAUUUCACAGACUGGCGUCUUAUUCUGGAUUACGUGCCCUACAUUAAUGGCAAAUUCAAGAAGGACGACUAGUUUGGCUACUGUCUGAAAAUGUGACUACUGGGCAGCCGAAUUGAAAAAGAUGAUGGAUAACAAUGAAAACUUGAAUAGGCUAUUAAAGGCUUCACUCCUCUGGGAAGGCUUUCCACAGGACUUUGAGUUUCUGUGGGAAUUCGGCGCCCAUUCAAAAGAGCAUUUGUGAAUCAGGCACUGAAGUUAAGAAGACCUGACUCUGAAUGUUCUAGUUCACCCCAAAUAUUUUCAGUGUGACUGAGGUCGGAGCUCUUUGCAGGCCACUACAGUUCCUCCACAUGAAACUGGAUAAGCCAUAUCUUUAGAAACCUCUUUUUAUGCAGUUUUGCUAAAACAGAGCAUGUAUUUAUGUAUGCAUGAAGAAUUAACAUUACUCUUCAGUGUAACUAAGGCGAAUAGCCCAAACCCUGAAAAACAGCCCCAGACCAUUAUCCCUGCUCCAUCACACUUUACUGUUGGAAGUGUUACCUGGCAACUGGCAAACCCACAUUUGUCUGUCAGACUGCCACACGGUGAAGUAUGAUUCACCCCACACAUUUCCAUUGUACCAGAGGCUAUUGGUGGUGUGCUUUACUCUGGUGUUUUUCAGCCCAAUCCUUGAGGCCCACCAGACGGUUCCACGUUUUUGCUCUAACCUGAUUUGUUGGGAACUUUGACAGAGCAAAACUGGAAGUGUCAGGUGGACCCUGAGGACUGAGCUGAGAAACACUGCUUCACAUUACUCUAGACAUGAAAUGGUGUACAGUGAUCCCAGGCUUGUGAGCAGUUGUUCGCACAUGGAAUCCCAUUUCAUGAAAUUCCCGACGCUCAGUUCCUGUACUGAUGUUGCCUUCAGAGGCAUUUUGGAACUCUGUACUGAGGGAUGCAACAGUGGAUGGGUGAUUUUGAUACACUACGCUCUUUAAGCACUUGGCAGCCACUGACUUGUGCCAAAGACAGCAUCCUAUAACUGCUGUUGUGUUUAACGUCAACCCAUUCUAAUGGCAGUGUUCUGCAUGGCCAGGUGCUUGGUUUUAUACACCUCAACUCAAUCAUUUGGAGGAACGUCCACAUACUUUCAAACAUAUAUUUGCUUGCACAGCUGAUGAAGAACCUCUCCAAAAUGUUCGUUUCUCUGGAAACCUGGUUUAGUUCACUGCAUUGUUAACAAUCUCUACAUCUUUAACUACAGUAUGCUACAGUUCACCUGGAAUCUUCUUUAUAUAUAUAGGACAUAUCUUAAUAUCUCUCUAUUAUAAUUUAUUAUUUUUAAACUACACAAUGUUUCAUCACAUUAUUGGCUUGGUUUUGGUCACAUGAUUUACAACAACAGCACAAAAAAUUAUAAGUAAUGCAAUUUUCUUCUUUUCAUUGUUUGAAUAGAUUAUAAGGGGUUUACUUUUGCAUCCCAAGCUGCAACAAGUGAUGCAAGUAAAAGCUGAACUGUUACAGCAUUUUGCUUGUUUUUUUUAGGCUUGCAUUGUGUGUACGGCUGCCUGAUGCAGUGCCUGUCUGUCUGCACAGAGCUGGAACCUGGGAAUGGGCGUCUAGAUGGAGAGAGGAAAGCUUUGUCUAAACCUGCGGGAUGUGCAGUAUAUUUGAUUGAAUGCAGUUUCAUUUGUUACUGAGGUGAAUAAAUAUUUAUUUUUAAUAACCCUGUGACCUAAGAAGUUGUGGCAGAUUGAUUGUUUUAAUGUAAACUGUUUGAGCAUAAAACCCUCCCCCACAACCUCCAGACAAAUGUGGUAUUUUACUCUAUAACAAAUAUAGAACAUUAGGGCUUGGGGGGGGGGCACCUAGAAGAAACUGGGUUUAAGCUGUAUAUGAAUCCAAUAAAAUGAUGCAAAGUUUAG